Molecule: ribosomal RNA, 459 nt
Filed under: uncultured bacterium
Lineage: Bacteria
Description: partial 16S ribosomal RNA
Rfam family: Bacterial small subunit ribosomal RNA
Source: RNAcentral
CCUACGGGAGGCUGCAGUGAGGAAUAUUGGUCAAUGGCCGGGAGGCUGAACCAGCCAAGUCGCGUGAGGGAAGACGGCCCUACGGGUUGUAAACCUCUUUUGUCAGGGAGCAAGGUGCAGGUCGGGACCUGCUGUGCGAGUACCUGAAGAAAAAGCAUCGGCUAACUCCGUGCCAGCAGCCGCGGUAAUACGGAGGAUGCGAGCGUUAUCCGGAUUUAUUGGGUUUAAAGGGUGCGCGGGCGGAGGCGCAAGUCAGCGGUAAAAUUGCGGGGCUCAACCACGCUUCGCCGUUGAAACUGUGUGCCUUGAGUGCGCGAAGGGUAGGCGGAAUGCGUGGUGUAGCGGUGAAAUGCAUAGAUAUCACGCAGAACUCCGAUCGCGAAGGCAGCCUACCGGCGCGCAACUGACGCUCAUGCACGAAAGCGUGGGUAUCGAACAGGAUUAGAUACCCUGGUAGGC